AUUGAACGCUAGCGGCAGGCCUAACACAUGCAAGUCGAACGAGUGGCGGACGGGUGAGUACUGUCUGGGAAACUGCCUGAUGGAGGGGGAUAACUACUGGAAACGGUAGCUAAUACCGCAUACCCUCGGCUGUCCCCGAAUGGGAUUAGCUAGUGGGUGGGGUAAAGGCUCACCUAGGCGACGAUCCCUAGCUGGUCUGAGAGGAGGACCAGCCACACUGGAACUGAGACACGGUCCAGACUCCUACGGGAGGCAGCAGUGGGGAAUAUUGCACAAUGGGCGAAAGCCUGAUGCAGCCAUGCCGCGUGUAUGAAGAAGGCCUUCGGGUUGUAAAGUACUUUCAGCGGGGAGGCGUUACCCGCAGAAGAAGCACCGGCUAACUCCGUGCCAGCAGCCGCGGUAAUUC
RNAcentral lists this ribosomal RNA (406 nucleotides) under uncultured bacterium. Its description in RNAcentral is "partial 16S ribosomal RNA". It matches the Rfam family "Bacterial small subunit ribosomal RNA", at positions 30 to 526 of the family's 1533-position model. The record is from RNAcentral.